UUCUCACGUUGCUGAAUUCACAGUUUCUUUUCUUCCAGGAUGAGGGAAAGGAAUGCCGGUGUCUGUCACGGCUGUAGAAGUAGGACCACUCCUUCCUCAAUUGCCUGAUAAAACGACGAUGCCCAUGGUGUACGCACGGACUGCAAAAAUGUUUUGAAGUUGAAAGAGAGAUAAAGAACAAAUGGCGAUUAUUCAAAACAUGUAGUGUUAACUACGGGUAUUUUGAUUGGGUCGUAAGCGAAGAAUCAAGCGGUGAAUGUAGCACGACUAAUGAAGCAGUGAAUCCCAAAGCCAUCGAGGAAGCCGAAGAUUUGUCGACCAUGUUCGACAGUCUAGCUAGAAUAGUUGAAAAAAAAGAUAUUGAAAUUUCAUUGAACAUGACAUUCCGUAAGGGAAAGGAAAGUGCCGAGGUGAAUGGAAAAUGGAAGGGCCACGCCCCGUAGGUAAUGGGCAAUAUUGAUUUUGAGAGGGCUUAGAUUGAGUAUAUUCUAUUGCUUAGGUUUGGUGGUGGUAAAUGGUGGCUGUGUUCAGUUUGUGAACUAAGAUGGUGGUUUUGGAGAACUUGUCUGGAUAAUGGCGGUGUGUUUUGGAAUUGGUAACCCUGUUUUGGAAUGCAAGUGGUGGUGUUAUAGUUGUGAACUAAUUUUCUAUUUGUUCACUGCUUGGGUUAAACUUACAAGGGAACUAAUUUUGUAGUUGUGCUAUAAUCUUGGUUUUUAAUUUUUAAACCUAUGUUUACAUAAUAAGUUGAUGUGUUAACAAUUGAAUUGUAAUAGGUUUUUUGUAUUACAUUGCCCGAAUUCCCCGAAACUGAAAAGGGAUGUUUAGGAUUCAAUUUGUAGAAGGAUUGCUCAUUUGAUGGUGCUCAUUAGUCGUGC
RNAcentral lists this long non-coding RNA (878 nucleotides) under Olea europaea subsp. europaea. Lineage: Eukaryota; Viridiplantae; Streptophyta; Magnoliopsida; Lamiales; Oleaceae. The record is from RNAcentral.